This 95-nucleotide ribosomal RNA is filed under the name uncultured bacterium. RNAcentral's name for it is "partial 16S ribosomal RNA". It matches the Rfam family "Bacterial small subunit ribosomal RNA", at positions 1388 to 1482 of the family's 1533-position model. The record is from RNAcentral.
CACCGCCCGUCACAUCAUGAAAGCCGUUUGUACCCGAAGUCAGUGGGCCAACCGCAAGGGGGCAGCUGCCGAAGGUAUGGAUGGUGAUUGGGAUG